UCCUUGUUACCACCACCAACAUGGGACCAAAUAUUACUAACAGGUAGAUAGGCAUAAGAGCCUUGGAUAUGGCAACAUUCACCUUACCACUGGUCUUGCUUCUAGACUAUUCCUUACCUGGGGAAUUACCUAUUGUGGAAAAGAGACUAAUUAUACCCACCAUCUUUUAAACAAUGAUCACUUACAGAGUAGGCAAGUCAUGUUAGGUGGGGAAGCAUGGCAGGUCAGGCCAUCAUUGCCAUUACUCCCACAACCUUGACUAUCCUCUCCCCUUAUACUUUUAUGAAAACAGCCUAGGAUUCUGAAACUAAGUGCCUUGACAAUGUCACUGUCUCCAAUCUAGGAUCCUUAGUCAUCAUUCUGGGAAGCAACAUUUGUAGAGAUUGUAGUAAGGAAAGGAAAUUAUAGCAAGAACAAUAUUGACAGCCCUGGAUUGCAAGCUACUGGAUCAGGGUUCCAAACUGUUGAAGAGACAGUUUUUCCAAAAGCACUCCGGAGCAAGUUGAAGGAGAAAGGGCUGAAACAUAUUGGAAAUCCAACCAUCAAACAACUGACUUUGAGGAUUUAUGAGCUGUGGUGACUCCAGUCUUCCUGGUGGACAGUUGGACUGGGGAAAAGAUCAUUAACUUGCUCAGACAUCUGAGGACAUCAGUGAACUCCUGUACCUCACUCACCAAGAACUCACUCCUUAGCUGCAGGAAGUGGAGAGAAUCCCAGGAGACAAUUACCAAAGAAGAAAAUUUUGGCAUUGUGUCAUCGACAGCUUCCUCAAAACUCCCCCCCAGAUUCACAUUUAAUUUCUCAUGUAAACCUGCAAUAUAUUGGAACCACAAUGGAGGAAGUUGCAAUGUGGAAGAAAUGUCUAUACUUCCAAUAAAGGAACAGUAGAUUUUAAGGUAAAAUUGAUUCAAUUCCCUCUCUAUUUUUAUUAUGAAAUUGAUAUUAUAUGAGAGAA
Molecule: long non-coding RNA, 955 nt
Filed under: Monodelphis domestica (gray short-tailed opossum)
Lineage: Eukaryota; Metazoa; Chordata; Mammalia; Didelphimorphia; Didelphidae
Description: lncRNA (ENSMODG00000043476.1)
Source: RNAcentral